RNAcentral lists this ribosomal RNA (1336 nucleotides) under metagenome. RNAcentral describes it as "bacterial LSU rRNA". It matches the Rfam family "Bacterial large subunit ribosomal RNA", at positions 1598 to 2925 of the family's 2925-position model. The record is from RNAcentral.
UACCCUGCUUCCAGGAAAAGCCACUAAGCUUCAGCUGCACACGACCGUACCGCAAACCGACACUGGUGCGCGAGAUGAGUAUUCUAAGGCGCUUGAGAGAACUCUGGAGAAGGAACUCGGCAAAUUGACACCGUAACUUCGGAAGAAGGUGUGCCUUUAGUAGGUGAUCCAUUUACUUGGUGAGCCCAAAGAGGCCGCAGAGAAUCGGUGGCUGCGACUGUUUAUUAAAAACACAGCACUCUGCAAAGACGAAAGUCGACGUAUAGGGUGUGACGCCUGCCCGGUGCUGGAAGAUUAAAUGAUGGGGUGCAAGCUCUUGAUUGAAGUCCCAGUAAACGGCGGCUGUAACAAUAACGGUCCUAAGGUAGCGAAAUUCCUUGUCGGGUAAGUUCCGACCUGCACGAAUGGCGUAACGAUGGCCACACUGUCUCCUCCAGAGACUCAGCGAAGUUGAAAUGUUUGUGAUGAUGCAAUCUCCCCCGGAAAGACGGAAAGACCCCAUGAACCUUUACUGUAGCUUUACAUUGGACUUUGAACAGAUCUGUGUAGGAUAGGUGGGAGGCUUUGAAGCGGUGCCGCUAGGUGUCGUGGAGCCAACGUUGAAAUACCACCCUGGUGUGUUUGAGGUUCUAACCUUGGCCCGUUAUCCGGGUUGGGGACAGUGUAUGGUAGGCAGUUUGACUGGGGCGGUCUCCUCCCAAAGCGUAACGGAGGAGUUCGAAGGUACGCUAGGCACGGUCGGAAAUCGUGCUGAUAGUGCAUUGGCAUAAGCGUGCUUGACUGCGAGACCGACAAGUCGAGCAGGUACGAAAGUAGGACAAAGUGAUCCGGUGGUUCUGUAUGGAAGGGCCAUCGCUCAACGGAUAAAAGGUACUCUGGGGAUAACAGGCUGAUACCGCCCAAGAGUUCAUAUCGACGGCGGUGUUUGGCACCUCGAUGUCGGCUCAUCUCAUCCUGGGGCUGUAGCCGGUCCCAAGGGUAUGGCUGUUCGCCAUUUAAAGAGGUACGUGAGCUGGGUUUAAACGUCGUGAGACAGUUUGGUCCCUAUCUUCCGUGGGCGCUGCAAGAUUGAGAGAGCCUGCUCCUAGUACGAGAGGACCGGAGUGGACGCACCUCUGGUGUAUCGGUUGUCACGCCAGUGGCAUUGCCGAGUAGCUAAGUGCGGAAGAGAUAACCGCUGAAAGCAUCUAAGCGGGAAACUCGUCUCAAGAUGAGUCUUGCCGGGGCCUUGAGCCCCCUGAAGAGUCGUUCGAGACCAGGACGUUGAUAGGUCGGGUGUGGAAGCGCAGUAAUGCGUUAAGCUAACCGAUACUAAUUGCUCGUGAGGCUUGACCCU